GAGGGUAUAGCUCAAGUGGUUGAACGUGUGCUUAGCAUGCACAAGGUCUUGGGUUCAAUCCCCAGUACCUCCA
This 73-nucleotide transfer RNA is filed under the name Camelus bactrianus (Bactrian camel). It matches the Rfam family "tRNA". Rfam says of the family: Transfer RNA (tRNA) molecules are approximately 80 nucleotides in length. Their secondary structure includes four short double-helical elements and three loops (D, anti-codon, and T loops). Lineage: Eukaryota; Metazoa; Chordata; Mammalia; Artiodactyla; Camelidae. The record is from Rfam by way of RNAcentral. RNAcentral also lists the same sequence under 2 other names.